Molecule: ribosomal RNA, 253 nt
Filed under: uncultured bacterium
Lineage: Bacteria
Description: partial 16S ribosomal RNA
Rfam family: Bacterial small subunit ribosomal RNA
Source: RNAcentral
CACGUAGGGCGCAAGCGUUGUCCGGAAUUAUUGGGCGUAAAGAGCUCGUAGGCGGUCUGUUACGUCUGCUGUGAAAACCCUGGGCUUAACCCUGGGCUUGCAGUGGAUACGGGCAGACUAGAGGCAGGUAGGGGAGAAUGGAAUUCCAGGUGUAGCGGUGAAAUGCGUAGAUAUCUGGAGGAACACCGGUGGCGAAGGCGGCAUCCUGGACCGACACUGACGCUGAGGAGCGAAAGCCAGGGGAGCAAACGGG